Molecule: non-coding RNA, 3866 nt
Organism: Callithrix jacchus (white-tufted-ear marmoset)
Lineage: Eukaryota; Metazoa; Chordata; Mammalia; Primates; Cebidae
Source: RefSeq, a predicted model, not a curated record
CUAACAAAUUAGCCACAAGAUUAGAGAUUAUGGUUUUGGAGUCAUGCAGCUAGGGGGCACAAGAUUCCAAAUAUCCCCAAACUGCUCCUCAGGAUAACAUCAAGUUUGAGGGAAAGGCUACACAUAUUUAUGAGGGGAGCCCCAUAUACGCUUAACGGGUAAGCACAGUUACAUAAAUCCUAUGUUCACUUUGGGGCAGAGUUUUAGAAUAAAAAUGAGGUAAAAGCUGGCCUUCAUGUCAAAAAGUAAACUGUAGGACACAAACGUGGUUUGUGUGCAGCAUCCCUCUAUAAGCCGGCUAAAACUGGCUUGAAUUCUGUAGUUGCUUAUUAGGAACUCUUUGUAAGACUGGUCCUGUGUCCAAUCAGAGUUGCAGUGUAAAUCAAAGCUGAUUGCUCCUUUUUUUUUUGAGACAAAAUUUCACUCUUGUUGCCCAGGCUGGAGUGCAAUGGCACAGUAUCGGCUCACUACAACCUCCGCCUCCUGGGUUCAAGAGAUUCUCUUGCCUCAACCUCCUGAAUAGCUGGAAUUACAGGUGACCACUAUCACGCUCAGCUAAUUUUUUGUAUUUUUAGUACAGACAGGCUUUCACCAUGUUGGUCAGGCUGAUCUCGAACUUCUGACCUCAGGUGAUCCACCUGCCUUGGACUCCCAGAGUGCUGGGAUUACAGGUGUGAGCCACUGCACCCAGCCAGAUGGGAGUUUACUCAGGAAUUUCAAAAUGUGCCAUGCCAGCCAGGCCCUGAACCCUGACCCAUAGGUAACUUUGUUUCCUUAAACUUUGGGUCCAUCUUAAUUGAUAAAAGGGCAUCUAUUUUAUUCUUUCAGGUCACAUAUGGAAUUAUUAAAGAGGGAAGAGGUCAUAGGAACCCCAGAAUUUGUAGUUGGCCAGGCAGAAGUGCAGGUAGUCUAGGAAUCCCAUUUGUGGUGUCUGAAGUGAUGGCAGUCUUGAGGGAUUCAGUGCCAGGUUAGCAUGGGGUCUGUGCUAACCCACUGUAGUUAGUGUCAGAUUUUAAUUCAACUGUAGAACACCUAGUUGGUGUCAGAGAACUGAAGAACUGUUUAUAUGGAAAAACAAGUCCCUCAGCCAGGAAGGGACAGAGUCCGAUUUAAACCCAAGCUUUUUACCAGAAUCUAGCCAAAGAGUAACUAAUAUUGACAGUUGUGAAUGACAAUUCAGUAGUAUCUGGGGCCAGAACAAAAAGGGCAUUUUAAAUGUAGGUUGGUUGGGGGUUUCUUGGGGAACUUUGUCUUUAGUGGAAAGAGAGGGGUUGCAAUGGAUGAGAAGUACAGGUGUGAGGGUUUCUGCUGUCAUGAUUCUUGUUUUGUGUGAAAGAGGUUUGAGCACGUUGAAACAGGCAGAGGCUAGAUGUAGAAAAUGCUUAAUGGGGGUGUCAAAGGAUAUAAUUACAAAAGACAUAGUUUAAAGAUCUCAAUUGGCUCCUCCUCUUCAGUUUGCACCGCGAACUGAAGAGCGAGGCAUGGCGGGCUGGGCUGACACCCCACUGAGGGACCGUAACUCUUUGUCCCAAUGCCUCCAUGAGCAAAGUUGAGUGGGUACCGGUGGUCGGAGCCGUGGAGGUGUCCUUGGUGGUGAGCGCGGCCAGAACUCCGGUCACGUAUAAUUUGGCCUCCUGAGAUUCUACCUUAGCAAGAAAGGAGCGGGAGAUACUCUUGGACAGAAAACUAAAAUAAUAAGAAAGCCAAAACUUAUUUUUACAUGGUUGUCAGCACAUUUACCGACAUGGACACUUUUCCCAAUAAUUUGCCUCCUGGUGGAAACAGUGGAUUGACAGGUUCUCAGUGGGCGUUCCAGAAAAUGUUAAUUGAUGAAAGGUUACGAUGUGGGCAUCAUAAAGCUAAUUAUCAGACUCUGAAAGCCGAACACACAAGGUUGCAGAAUGAAUAUGUAAAGUCACAAAAUGAACUCAAGCACCUGUUAAAUGAAAAGCAAAUUCACCAGGAAAAACUUCAGCUGCUUCAAGAACUAAGAGAAGAAUUAGUAGAGAAAACUAAAGGCUUAGAAGAAAUGAGACUGCAGAUAUUAACUCCACAAAAAUUGGAAUUGCUAAGAGCCCAAAUUCAACAAGAAUUAGAAACUCCAAUGAGAGAACGUUUUCAGACCCCGGAUGAAGAGGUGGAAAAGUAUAGAGCUGUAUAUAAUAAGCUUCACCAUGAACAUACAUUUCUCAAGUCAGAAUUUGAACACCAGAAGGAAGAGUUUGCGCAUAUUUUAGAAUAUGGAAAAAUGAAAUAUCAAUCAGAGACUGCAAGACUGGAGGAAGAUAAAGAACUAUGUAACCAGCUGCUUAAUGUUGAUCUCACAAGAGACAGCAAACGAGUGAGCAACUUACUCGAGAAAAAGUCUAUUUGUAUAAAAAAUUAAAAGGUUUAGAGGCUGAAGUAGCAGAAUUAUGGGCUGAAAAGGAGAAUUCUGGCACUCAGGUAGAAAAUGUCCAAAGAAUACAGGUGCGGCAGUUGGCUGAGGUGCAGGCUACAGUCAGGUCCCCAGAGGCUGAAAAACAGUCAGCUAAGCUAUGGGCAGAACACUUGGAAAAAGAGCUACAAUCAAGCAAUGAAUAAAAUACCUGUUUGAUUAAUAAAUUGCAUAAAGCAGAACAAGAAAUAAAUACAUUGUCCAGUACAGUAAAAGAACUUAAACAUCCAAACAAACUAGAAAUAACAGACAUCAAACUGGAGGCAGCAAGAGCUAAGAGUGAGCUAGAAAAAGAAAGGAGUAAGAUUCAAAGUGAACUGGAUGGACUACGGUCAGACAAUGAAAUUCUCAAAGCAGCUGUUGAACACCACAAAGAUAUUCCUCAAGAAGAGCAACCCCACGAUACAUAAUCGUUAGAUUCACCAGGGUUGAAAUGAAGGAGAAAAUACUAAGGGCUGCCAGAGGUCAGGUUACCCACAAAGGGAAGCCUAUCAGACUCACAGCAGAUCUCUAGGCAGAAACCCUACAAGCCAGAAGAGAGUGGGGGCCAAUAUUCAACAUCCUUAAAGAAAAGAACUUUAAACCCAGAACUUCAUAUCCAGCCAAACUAAGCUUCACAAGUGAAGGAAAAAUAAAAUCUUUUAUGAACAAGCAAGUACUCAGAGAUUUCAUUACCACCAGGCCUGCUUUACAAGAGCUUCUGAAAGAAGCAUUACACAUAGAAAGGAACACCCAGUAUUAGCCUUUCCAAAAAUAUACCAAAAAGUAAAGAGCAUCAACAUAAUGAAUUUACAUCAACUAAUGGGCAAAACAGCCAGCUAACAUCAAAUGGCAGUAAUCCUAAAUUUAAAUAGACUAAAUCCCCCAAUCAAAAGAUACAGCCAAAACCCAUCAGUAUGCUGCAUCCAGACCCAUCUCACAUGCAAGGAUACACAAAGACUCAAAACAAAGGGAUGGAGAAAGAUUUAGCAACCAAAUGGAGAGCAAAAAUAAAUAAAAAGCAGAAGUUGCAAUUCUCAUCUCUGAUAAAAUGGAUUUUAAAGCAACAAAGCAACAAAGAUAAAAGGAUCAAUGCAACAAGAAGAGCUAAUGAUCCUAAAUAUAUAUGCACCCAAUACAGGAGCACCCAGAUACGUAAGACCUAUACAGAGACUUAGACUCCCACACAAUAAUAGUGGGAGACUUCAACAUCAAUAUUAGAUAGAUCAACAAGACAGAAAAUUAAUAAGGAUAUCCAGGACUUGAACUCACAUCCAGAACAAGUAAACUUAAUAAACAUUUAUAGAGCUCUCCACUUUAAAUACACAGAAUGUACACUCUUACCAGUACCACAUACACCUACUCACAGGUUUAAAUGAAAUAUUGGUUGGCCAUUAUUAAGCACAAUUAUUGGCAUAAAAGAGGUUUUCAAUACCCAUUUUUAGAAUAA